Megalobrama amblycephala (Wuchang bream) is the source of this 2206-nucleotide RNA transcript. It is a transcript of the gene named enoyl CoA hydratase domain containing 3, with no coding region annotated. The transcript has 8 exons. The record is from RefSeq and is a predicted model, not a curated record. NCBI's taxonomy places the organism in Eukaryota, Metazoa, Chordata, Actinopteri, Cypriniformes, Xenocyprididae.
GGAGAGCAGGUGAAACGCACUUCCGGUGUUGUCGCUGUCCUCACUGUCCCGUGCUCGUUCAGUUUCUCUGCUGAAACAAAAUAUGAUUUUAAGCGGAUUUUACAGCGCAUCGAACCUUCUGAAGUCCAGCGGGGCGUUCUGGAGGAUCUGGACGAGGAAGAUGAGCGCUGAUUCUUCAUCUCUGACCCUGAGACAGCAGCAGGACGGAAUCAGGAGGAUCAUUCUGAACGACCCCAGGAAGAGGAACGCUCUGUCUCUGUCCAUGCUGGAGUCGCUGAGAGAAGACCUCGUGACGGACGCGCACACGCCAGAGCUGCGCGUCAUCAUCAUAUCAGCGCGGGGGCCCGUGUUUUCCUCGGGUCACGACCUCAAGGAGCUGACCUCCGCCCGGGGCCGCGAGUAUCACAGCAAGGUGUUCCAGACCUGCUCAGAGGUCAUGACCCUGAUUCAGGAUCUCCCGGUGCCGGUCAUCGCGAUGGUGAACGGUGUGGCCACGGCGGCGGGUUGCCAGUUAGUCGCCAGCUGUGAUAUUGCUGUUGCAACAGAGAAAUCGACUUUCGCCACUCCUGGCAUCAACGUCGGGCUGUUCUGCUCCACCCCGGGAGUGGCGAUCGGACGGGCGCUGCCCAGAAAGGUUGCCAUGGAGAUGUUGUUGACGGGCCGCCCCAUCUCCGCUCAGGACGCGCUGCUGCACGGGCUGGUCAGUAAGGUGGUGAGCGAGCAGCAGUUAGAGGACGAGACGCUGGCCAUCGCCAGACGCGUGUGUGAGUCCAGUCGCCCCGUGGUGGCUCUCGGGAAGGCCGUGUUUCACAGGCAGAUGGCCGAGGGCCGAGACGCGGCGUACGCUUGUGCCUCCGCUGCCAUGGUGGAGAACCUGGCGCUGCGGGACGGGCAGGAGGGCGUCAGGGCGUUCCUGGAGAAACGCAAGCCCGUGUGGAGCAACAGUGACGAGGAAGCCCACAUGUGACUCUACAAACAAACACACCGAAUCAGUCAAGACUGUCUAACUGUGCAAAUCUUUAUGUAAAUAUGAGCACUUCCUGAGGUUGUGAGGUACCACCUGAUCUCUCCUUUCAAAAGCGUCAUUCAGAGUUCAUGUUUAUUUCUUUAUCUCUGUGGAAUCAUGUGUUAAACAGGAGAAAGUUCUGGAGAAAUCAGUGAGUCACCUGUAUGUGUUCACAAAUUAUCACUAAUAUUUGUGCUCUCUCCAUCAUAACAGUGUUAUAUACGUCACCUCACUGUUCAUUGUGUUUAUUUUACAGGUUUUGUCUUGCAUAUCAGUUCUUAAUUUUUACAUUCUCAUUGUUUUUUUUACUAAAUUAGCUGCCUGAUGAUCCAUGCCAAAGACAGCACUAUCACAUUUGUCAUAUCUACACUGAUUUGUUGUACUUGUACAGACUGCACUGUAAGUGAAUGAGGCAAAUUGAUGAAAGAGUCUUUAUUAAAUUAUAUUAAUGCUGUGAUACACUUGUUGACCACAAGAGGGAGCCGGUCAUCACCUGUCUUUCAUCUGCCUUACAUUUAAUCUAAUAAAUUGUGAUUUUUUUUAUUGAAACGAACGAAUUUAUGAAAAGAACUGAGUCAGUAACACAACAUGAAGUCAUUUUCAGUGUGUUGAUGGUGAAACAACUUGUCUGGUAGAAACUGCGCAGUUUGUCAUCCGCUCCUCUAGGGGCGCAAGCGGCUUCACGUUCAUGACAUCUUUGGAUCCUUGACAACAACAACAACACCUGAUGUCAACUUGACUUGACGUUUUGAUCACUUUAUAGACAUGAAAGUACAGAUCCUGCUCAGUGACAGACUCAUAAAGUCACUCAACAGCACAUAUUCCAGCAAAAUCAACUGACACACAUUGAGAAACUUUAAGAAUCGACCAUGUCACGCGACUCACUGAUGGCUUUUCUGAGAUUGUUCUGUCAGCAGUGGGCGGGGCUUACAAGCUGUAAUCCAAUUGGCUGAAAAUGUGAUUAAUAUGCGACACCCUGUUGCCAAUUUGCAAUCCACCUGAGGACCAGCGUGAGCACAAGGAGAAGUCUUCUUUGAAUAUCAGGAUCUCUGGGUCAGAACUGCUGGAGGUCAUGAGGAGGUGGCAGGAGAAGCAGCCGCAGCUUUCUCUGGGAUAAAGGUUACGACGGGCCAUUUCUGUUUGAAUGCAUGUGUUAUUUACAAACUGAUCAGUUUGUGCACAAUAAAAGGCUAAAUGUGA